AUAAGGCCGAGGGAGAGAGCUCGAGCGGCGAAGGAGAGAGGCGGAGGAGAGAGGCGAUUCCGAGCUAUUCCACCAUUCGAUUUUGAUUUUGUCCUCCCUAUUCUCUUUGCCCCCGGCUGCCGAGUUGCAGGUGGCUGCUUAUGAUUUUCCCCUGGUAGAUGAGGCAUGUCUGAAUGUGUUCCAGGAAGCUCUCUGAAUUUGAUGCUUCUAUUACUGUGUAAUUUUACCCCCGAGACAUGUAAUGUAGCUCAAAAGUACAGUGGAUCAUACCCCCAGAAUUACAGUGUAACUACUGUGUAAUAGGUUUGCAGAACCUCACUGUCCCACCUUUUGCAGUGUAAUUCUGCCAUUUUUACAGUGUAAUUAACAUGCUUUACAGUGUAAUUCUCCCAUAUCUGUAAUUACUGUGUCAUUCUCCCAAAUACUGUGUUAUUUAUUGUUCGAUUA
Long non-coding RNA from Triticum dicoccoides, 447 nucleotides. RefSeq lists it as uncharacterized. The transcript has 2 exons. NCBI's taxonomy places the organism in Eukaryota, Viridiplantae, Streptophyta, Magnoliopsida, Poales, Poaceae. The record is from RefSeq and is a predicted model, not a curated record.